UACGUAGGCGGCAAAUUAAGUCAGUAGUGAAAUCCUGCAGCUUAACUGUAGAACUGUUAUUGAUACUGGUUUUCUUGAAUAUAGUUGAGGUAGGCGGAAUGUGUAAUGUAGCGGUGAAAUGCUUAGAUAUUACACAGAACACCGAUUGCGAAGGCAGCUUACUAAGCUAUGAUUGACGCUGAGGUACGAAAGCGUGGGGAGCGAACAGGAUUAGAUACCCUGGUAGUCC
RNAcentral lists this ribosomal RNA (229 nucleotides) under uncultured bacterium. RNAcentral describes it as "partial 16S ribosomal RNA". It matches the Rfam family "Bacterial small subunit ribosomal RNA", at positions 568 to 796 of the family's 1533-position model. The record is from RNAcentral.